Molecule: non-coding RNA, 52 nt
Organism: Myotis lucifugus (little brown bat)
Lineage: Eukaryota; Metazoa; Chordata; Mammalia; Chiroptera; Vespertilionidae
Source: Rfam
GCUUUCUGAACAGCUGGUGUAGCUACAGAGAAACCAGCUUCCUUCAGAGAGC